Molecule: ribosomal RNA, 253 nt
Filed under: uncultured bacterium
Lineage: Bacteria
Description: partial 16S ribosomal RNA
Rfam family: Bacterial small subunit ribosomal RNA
Source: RNAcentral
GACGUAGGGCGCGAGCGUUGUCCGGAUUUAUUGGGCGUAAAGAGCUCGUAGGCGGUUUGUCGCGUCUGCUGUGAAAACUCAGGGCUUAACCCUGAGCCUGCAGUGGGUACGGGCAGACUAGAGUGUGGUAGGGGAGAUCGGAAUUCCUGGUGUAGCGGUGGAAUGCGCAGAUAUCAGGAGGAACACCGGUGGCGAAGGCGGAUCUCUGGGCCAUAACUGACGCUGAGGAGCGAAAGCAUGGGGAGCGAACAGG